UUAUUGUAAGUUAGUUUCACAAUCCAAUUUCAUUAACUUAAUACUAAUGUGUCAUUGAUAAGAUGACAAUCAUUAAAAGAGAUUAUAAUUUUUAUAUCAACGGCAUAUUAAUAUUUAGUCAACUAAAUUGGAUUGUGAGAUAUAAUUAUGGCAACUUAAUAAAGUUCGAGCCAAAAAUUAUAACGAAUUAAAAUUUGAGCACCAAAAUAUUAUGCGUGUUAUAGUUUGAGGACCUGAAGUAUGAUCUAGCCUAUA
This 255-nucleotide long non-coding RNA is filed under the name Ananas comosus (pineapple). RNAcentral's name for it is "long non-coding RNA (ACOM_LNC029992)". The record is from RNAcentral. Lineage: Eukaryota; Viridiplantae; Streptophyta; Magnoliopsida; Poales; Bromeliaceae.